Molecule: ribosomal RNA, 460 nt
Filed under: uncultured bacterium
Lineage: Bacteria
Description: partial 16S ribosomal RNA
Rfam family: Bacterial small subunit ribosomal RNA
Source: RNAcentral
CCUACGGGAGGCAGCAGUGAGGAAUAUUGGUCAAUGGUCGCGAGCCUGAACCAGCCAAGUAGCGUGAAGGAUGACUGCCCUACGGGUCGUAAACCUCUUUUAUAAAGGAAUAAAGUGAGGCACGUGUGCCUUUUUGUAUGUACUUUAUGAAUAAGGAUCGGCUAACUCCGUGCCAGCAGCCGCGGUAAUACGGAGGAUCCGAGCGUUAUCCGGAUUUAUUGGGUUUAAAGGGUGCGUAGAUGGGUUGUUAAGUCAGUUGUGAAAGUUUGCGGCUCAACCGUAAAAUUGCAAUUGAUACUGGCAGUCUUGAGUACAGUUGAGGUAGGCGGAAUGCGUGGUGUAGCGGUGAAAUGCUUAGAUAUCACGAAGAACUCCGAUUGCGAAGGCAGCUUACUAAACUGCCACUGACAUUGAUGCUCGAAAGUGUGGGUAUCAAACAGGAUUAGAUACCCCUGUAGUC